CCUACGGGCGGCAGCAGUGAGGAAUAUUGGUCAAUGGACGCAAGUCUGAACCAGCCAUGCCGCGUGCAGGAAGACGGCUCUAUGAGUUGUAAACUGCUUUUGUACGAGGGUAAACGCAGAUACGUGUAUCUGUUUGAAAGUAUCGUACGAAUAAGGAUCGGCUAACUCCGUGCCAGCAGCCGCGGUAAUACGGAGGAUCCAAGCGUUAUCCGGAUUUAUUGGGUUUAAAGGGUGCGUAGGCGGUCGUAUAAGUUAGAGGUGAAAUACCGAGGCUCAACAUCGGAAUUGCCGCUGAUACUGUUGGGCUAGAGAGUGGUUGCGGUAGGCGGAAUGUGUGGUGUAGCGGUGAAAUGCAUAGAGAUCACACAGAACACCGAUUGCGAAGGCAGCUUACUAGGCUAGUUCUGACGCUGAGGCACGAAAGCGUGGGGAGCGAACAGGAUUAGAUACCCGUGUAGUC
This 460-nucleotide ribosomal RNA is filed under the name uncultured bacterium. RNAcentral's name for it is "partial 16S ribosomal RNA". It matches the Rfam family "Bacterial small subunit ribosomal RNA", at positions 338 to 795 of the family's 1533-position model. The record is from RNAcentral.